This 253-nucleotide ribosomal RNA is filed under the name uncultured bacterium. RNAcentral describes it as "partial 16S ribosomal RNA". It matches the Rfam family "Bacterial small subunit ribosomal RNA", at positions 524 to 776 of the family's 1533-position model. The record is from RNAcentral.
UACGAAGGGGGCUAGCGUUGUUCGGAAUCACUGGGCGUAAAGCGCUCGUAGGCGGAUCUUUAAGUCAGAGGUGAAAUCCCAAGGCUCAACCUUGGAACUGCCUUUGAUACUGGGGAUCUCGAGUCCGGGAGAGGUGAGUGGAACUGCGAGUGUAGAGGUGAAAUUCGUAGAUAUUCGGCGGAACACCAGUGGCGAAGGCGACUCACUGGCCCGAUACUGACGCUGAGGCGCGAAAGCGUGGGGAGCAAACAGG